Non-coding RNA from Trichonephila inaurata madagascariensis, 72 nucleotides. NCBI's taxonomy places the organism in Eukaryota, Metazoa, Arthropoda, Arachnida, Araneae, Nephilidae. The record is from the annotation of a GenBank genome assembly.
CAAGGUUUAGCUCAGUGGUAGAGCAUUCGACUGCAGAACGAGAGGUCCCCGGUUCAAAUCCGGGAGUCUUCU